This 252-nucleotide ribosomal RNA is filed under the name uncultured bacterium. RNAcentral's name for it is "partial 16S ribosomal RNA". It matches the Rfam family "Bacterial small subunit ribosomal RNA", at positions 525 to 776 of the family's 1533-position model. The record is from RNAcentral.
ACGAAGGGGUCUAGCGUUGCUCGGAAUCACUGGGCGUAAAGCGCACGUAGGCGGGUUGUUAAGUCGGGGGUGAAAUCCUGGAGCUCAACUCCAGAACUGCCUUCGAUACUGGCGACCUUGAGUCCGGGAGAGGUGAGUGGAACUCCGAGUGUAGAGGUGAAAUUCGUAGAUAUUCGGAAGAACACCAGUGGCGAAGGCGGCUCACUGGCCCGGUACUGACGCUGAGGUGCGAAAGCGUGGGGAGCAAACAGG